AAUCCAAACCGACACCCCACAGCCACACUUCCUAUCUCAGAACAGAACCCUAUCCUGCCCCACCCACGCGCCUGCAGUUCGCUCCAUCCACCGCGCCGCCGCCGCCGCUCCGCCUAGGCUCCCCUGCCGUCGCGCUGCAGGCAACCUGUCGGCGCCCUCCCAUCAGCGGCUAUUUUCGUCGCUCAGCCCACGAGCCCCUGCCAUUGCGCGACCGUUGACCGCGUGUUCCUCCCGGCUUCCCGGUGCCGGCGCGAUUCGUCGGCCUGCUAACGAGCUUCCAAGUGAGGGGCGCUUCGACGGACACCAUACGCUGCCCGCAGUUCACUCCUCCGCCACCUACUCGCUCCUGGUGACGAGGCGUUCCUCCUUGCGGCAGCGCGCUAGGUCGACCUGCUUACGAGCUCCCAAUGGAUGCGCGCUUUGUUGGGUGUUGGCCUACUCGUGAAGUCCCAACGGUGGCUCCCUGCGACCCCCUGCCCCUGAAACUUCUACCUGCAGAGUGUAGUCGGUGGGAAGGAUGUUGUCUGUCGGAUAUAAGCAAAGCAAGGAAGGAGCGGGCCGAGGAAAUUGAUAAGAAGUGUACAAAUAUGCAUCAAACAUUCUGCUUUUCAAAGAGCAACAAAGAAUAUUUUGAUCACUGAAGAAGACCUACGAUGCAGGCCCAAGAUGGAAAGGGUGGCCGUGGGAACUAUUCAGCACGCCGAUCACACAAUUAUAAUGGUAUAUGCUGAGAAGUUACAUAAUUUUCCAGAAGAUUGGCAUGGAUUUGGUUCUAAAUGCACGGACUGGUCUUGAAGCAAGGUCGAUCAAGACACUGUACGAGUGUUACUGUGUCACAAGGUCUAUUGGAUGGCCAUUUAGCUAGAUAUGCUGACUUGUGUAUAGGUGACGUACAAGCCAUAGCAUCUUCCUUACCCAUCGCAGAGUUAUUUCUCUAACUCAGCUAUGCAGUGAAAUUAUUUCAGUACUGAGAUGUUUGUAUCAUGAAAAUAUACCAGAGGGGGAGAAACCAUGAAACUGGCGGUUCACAUCAAUUGGAUUUUUCGUGUAAAGGAGCAAACUAUGAAUUGCCAGAUACAUCCUUUAGCUAUCACUUUGUAAACCUCUAUGGUGUCUUAGGCACUGGACCAUAUUGUUUCCUCUAUUUUAGUUACCUUUUAGUAUAUGAGAAGUACUUCUGUACGAGAAUUAAUUAAAAUGUUUGGUUCUGGUUUGAUAAUCUUCAAGGAUAUGCACAUUACUGGAAA
Molecule: long non-coding RNA, 1247 nt
Organism: Lolium perenne
Lineage: Eukaryota; Viridiplantae; Streptophyta; Magnoliopsida; Poales; Poaceae
Source: RefSeq, a predicted model, not a curated record